UACGGGGGGAGCAAGCGUUGUUCGGAUUUACUGGGCGUAAAGGGCGCGUAGGCGGUCGUGACAAGUCACUUGUGAAAUCUCCGGGCUUAACUCGGAACGGUCAAGUGAUACUGUCGGACUAGAGUACAGAAGGGGCAACUGGAAUUCUCGGUGUAGCGGUGAAAUGCGUAGAUAUCGAGAGGAACACCUGCGGCGAAGGCAAUCUCCUGGACCUGCACUGACGCUCAUGCACGAAAGCGUGGGGAGCAAACAGG
This 254-nucleotide ribosomal RNA is filed under the name uncultured bacterium. Its description in RNAcentral is "partial 16S ribosomal RNA". It matches the Rfam family "Bacterial small subunit ribosomal RNA", at positions 524 to 776 of the family's 1533-position model. The record is from RNAcentral.